UCGACCCCUACACAUCCUACGCAAAGCCCCCAUGACCUCCGCCGCCCUAAUGCGCCUGCAGUACCCAAGGUCUCUCUCGUCAAUCCCGGUCGCUCGACCCCUACUCAUCCUACGCAAAGCCCCAUGACCUCAUCCGCCCAAUGCGCCUGCAGUACCCAAGGUCUCUAUGUUGCUCUGAAUGCCCCAAAUCCCCUAAUUCUAUGUUACGAUCCACCUCCCCGUUAAGUAAGCUCGAAAGUACGCCUGCCAGCUCUGCUUGACUUGAGACUCCCCCAUCAAAACUCUACCAUCCUCUCCCUUGAUGCACCUAACUUGGUCAAGAUCACGCGCCUUCCUUUCCCUUUCUUUAGCUAACCUGAAUAACUUCUUGUCCCUGCCUUUCUCCCCUAAUUCCUCGUACAUGUAACCAAACGCCGCAUUUUUUGCUCCCGUAACCGCCAUCUUUACUUCUUUCUUCGCCGCUUUAUAGAUCUCCCUGUUCGCUCUAUGUUCUUCCUCGCUUGUGCUCCCUGCCAUCUUAGCAAACGCCGCCUUCUUCGCCUCCACUUUAC
This 551-nucleotide long non-coding RNA is filed under the name Nicotiana benthamiana. RNAcentral describes it as "long non-coding RNA (NBEN_LNC018882)". Lineage: Eukaryota; Viridiplantae; Streptophyta; Magnoliopsida; Solanales; Solanaceae. The record is from RNAcentral.